GCUCGCUUAGUUUAGUUGGUCAAAAACAUCUGGCUUACAUCCAGAAGAUCGGGGUUUCGAAUACCUCAGCGAGUACUA
This 78-nucleotide transfer RNA is filed under the name Gammaproteobacteria bacterium. Its description in RNAcentral is "tRNA-Val". It matches the Rfam family "tRNA". Rfam says of the family: Transfer RNA (tRNA) molecules are approximately 80 nucleotides in length. Their secondary structure includes four short double-helical elements and three loops (D, anti-codon, and T loops). Further hydrogen bonds mediate the characteristic L-shaped molecular structure. tRNAs have two regions of fundamental functional importance: the anti-codon, which is responsible for specific mRNA codon recognition, and the 3' end, to which the tRNAs corresponding amino acid is attached (by aminoacyl-tRNA synthetases). tRNAs cope with the degeneracy of the genetic code in two manners: having more than one tRNA (with a specific anti-codon) for a particular amino acid; and 'wobble' base-pairing, i.e. permitting non-standard base-pairing at the 3rd anti-codon position. Lineage: Bacteria; Pseudomonadati; Pseudomonadota; Gammaproteobacteria. The record is from RNAcentral.